GGAGUCUAGCGCGCGCGCGAGUCACUGGGCUUAUAAUUAAACCCAAAGGCGCAUUGAAAGAGAAGGCGAACUUUACGUUCGCUUAGGGAAGAUGGGUUCGCGAUUUAGCGAGCCUCGCAUUCCCGGGGCGUCCGAUCGUCAUUGCGACGAAAGGCGCACCUAGAGCGCGCGCGCUGGGACCCGAAAGAUGGUGAACUAUGCCUGGUCAGGAUGAAGUCAGGGGAAACCCUGAUGGAGGUCCGCAGCGAUUCUGACGUGCAAAUCGAUCGUAAGAACUGGGUAUAGGGGCGAAAGACUAAUCGAACCAUCUAGUAGCUGGUUCCCUCCGAAGUUUCCCUCAGGAUAGCUGGCGCUCGGAGAUUACAGAGUUUCAUCUGGUAAAGCGAAUGAUUAGAGGCGUUGGGGACGAAACGUCCUCAACCUAUUCUCAAACUUUAAAUGGGUGAGAUCUCCGGCUUUCUUAAAACUUGCAGCCGCGAGAAUCUUUUUUUUAAAAAAAUUAAGAAUCUAGAGUGCCAAGUGGGCCAUUUUUGGUAAGCAGAACUGGCGUUGUGGGAUGAACCAAACGCAGAGUUAAAGCGCCUAAAUAGACGCUUAUGAGAUACCAUGAAAGGCGUUGGUAACUUAAGACAGCAGGACGGUGGCCAUGGAA
Molecule: ribosomal RNA, 652 nt
Filed under: Malthodini sp. UPOL RK0180
Lineage: Eukaryota; Metazoa; Arthropoda; Insecta; Coleoptera; Cantharidae
Description: eukaryotic LSU rRNA
Rfam family: Eukaryotic large subunit ribosomal RNA
Source: RNAcentral